Pantherophis guttatus is the source of this 1463-nucleotide long non-coding RNA. RefSeq lists it as uncharacterized. Lineage: Eukaryota; Metazoa; Chordata; Lepidosauria; Squamata; Colubridae. The record is from RefSeq and is a predicted model, not a curated record.
UGCCAUCACUACAGAAGAAUUUAAAGCUUUCUGAUCCUCGCAGGCAGCCACCAUCUUGCCCUGUGUUUACCAAUUUCACGUGUCAUUAAAUUAGCCCUAAGACACCUUUUGUGUGACAUGUGGAAGUAAAGCACAGCCUGUAACUUUAAUGACCUUUUAUGCGAUUCAGUCUAUAAAACACGAAGCCUGCCCAGCAACGGUUUACAUUAAUGGCAUUUAAAGAAAUAUUUUAAUAUUGAAAAAUACAUCCGUGGUGAAAGGAUUUGGCUGGUUCUCAAUUAAAGCUAGUUGCAUAAAAGACAUCGAGGAGAAACCUUUAAGACUGGUUGAUUAUCUUCAAUAGAUAAGUGCAUUUGGAAGAAAAAGAAAGCAACUAUCAAGUUUGCAAAACGAAAAAAGAAGGGUUUCAAUCCUGCACUUAGUGAACCUGCUUGAAUCCUAUUCAGUCUGCAAGAAAUCUGUUGAAUAAUCUUAUAUGUGGAAGAUAUGUCCAUUUUUCUAAGAUAGAUCUUUAAACCUUGUCUAUGAAAUAAUUGAUAAUCUCAAAUGAUUUAAGCCAUAAACCAUUCGUCUUAAAGCUGUGCAAGACAUGUGAAAUCCACUUGAUGAUAUGCUUCAUGCCACUUCUUUUACUGAAGCUGUACUGAUACAUCCUUCCUUGGAUAUCUCAUAGAUGGAAAUAAUCUCUGUUCCAAUUGAAGAGAAUAUAUGUAGCUCAGGGUUAAAUGAAAAUAUAAGCAGAUAGUGACUUCCAAUAGGCUUGGAAAAGGAGAAGAAAGGGCUUGUAAUGAAAUAUGCUAAGAGUUCAUCAAAAACAGCAAGGAGGGUUUGUGCCUUUGGCAAUAGGAAUGUACAUGAAUGACACUAUUGUGGGAAGCCAACCAUUGUGUUCCUCAGACCACCAGAAGAUGGUCUUUUUGCAUAAAUAUUUGACAGCAUUGAGAGAUGUCUGGAAAUUUCAUUUGUAAAUCAAAACAAUUUUUGCAACCAAAUGUAUGAAACUGAAUCUUUGGUACUCUGAUUUCAAGUUUUUUUUCUCCAUUUUAUGCAACUUAAUCUCUAGUAUCCAUUUUUUUAUGUGUAUCAGAACAUAAGUUAAAAAAAGGAUGUGAUUGCAUGGUCACUAUCUUGACUUUAAAAAAAUAAGCACUUUUGGAUUCUUUUUUGUUUCCUUUGUCUUUGCAAGCUUUUUGUUUUAUUUUAAAGACAGCAAAAUGGAAGAUUUACUUUUGAGGUUAAGACACUUUAAAAACAUAAAAAUAUAAAAACAGAUACAAAUAUAAAAACCAGGAGCUACUGUAUUUCUAUUACUCUCAAACUAUGAUACCUUUUAAUAUCAAGGUGUUUUUAAAAACAAAAUGUCUCUCCCUUCCUAACAAUAUUAUUGUUUUACCUUCAGGCUCUUGUUGUAGAUUCUUGCUGUAGAUUUUAUGAACAUGAUUCAAAUAAAUUGGUUCUCUGUC